AGAGAGAGAGAAGGAUGGAGGGGUGGGUUGGGGGAGACAGAGAGGAGGAAUAGACACAGGGAGGGAACAAAAGGAAACCCACUCGGCAAAAACUGGUUGAAUCAACAUUGUUUCCACGUUGUUUCAACAACAACAAAAAUGAAGCGUAAUGACGUUUAUUCAACGUGGGAAACGGAUUGGAUUUGCAACUUAAAUCCAAUGUCACGGGGACAUUUUUUUUGUCAGCCAAAUGUAAAUGAAAAGUCGAUGUUGAAUUGACGUCUGCGCCAGUGGGAAGGGAGGCAGGCAGAGAGGACAUGUUGGAAAGAGCAUUCUCCCUUUCCCCCUUCUAACACUAGAGUCAGUAUUCUCCUUCUAACACUAGAGUCAGUAUUCUCCUUCUAACACUAGAGUCAGUAUUCCCCCUUCUAACACCAGAGUCAGUAUUCUCCAUCUAACACCAGAGUCAGUAUUCUCCUUCUAACACCAGAGUCAGUAUUCUCCAUCUAACACUAGAGUCAGUAUUCUCCAUCUAACACUAGAGUCAGUAUUCUCCUUCUAACACUAGAGUCAGUAUUCUCCAUCUAACACCAGAGUCAGUAUUCUCCAUCUAACACUAGAGUCAGUAUUCUCCAUCUAACACUAGAGUCAGUAUUCUCCUUCUAACACUAGAGUCAGUAUUCUCCAUCUAACACUAGAGUCAGUAUUCUCCUUCUAACACUAGAGUCAGUAUUCUCCGUCUAACACCAGAGUCAGUAUUCUCCAUCUAACACUAGAGUCAGUAUUCUCCAUCUAACACUAGAGUCAGUAUUCUCCUUCUAACACUAGAGUCAGUAUUCUCCAUCUAACACCAGAGUCAGUAUUCUCCAUCUAACACUAGAGUCAGUAUUCUCCAUCUAACACUAGAGUCAGUAUUCUCCUUCUAACACUAGAGUCAGUAUUCUCCAUCUAACACUAGAGUCAGUAUUCUCCUUCUAACACUAGAGUCAGUAUUCUCCGUCUAACACCAGAGUCAGUAUUCUCCAUCUAACACUAGAGUCAGUAUUCUCCAUCUAACACUAGAGUCAGUAUUCUCCUUCUAACACUAGAGUCAGUAUUCUCCAUCUAACACUAGAGUCAGUAUUCUCCAUCUAACACUAGAGUCAGUAUUCUCCAUCUAACACUAAUCUAACAGGUAGAGGUCAUAUCAGUGAAAGGCUCUAAUCUAACAGGUAGAGGUCAUAUCAGUGAAAGCCUCUAAUCCAACAGGUAGAGGUCAUAUCAGUGAAAGCCUCUAAUCUAACAGGUAGAGAUCAUAUCAGUGAAAGUCUCUAAUCUAACAGGUAGAGGUCAUAUCAGUGAAAGGCUCUAAUCUAACAGGUAGAGGUCAUAUCAGUGAAAGCCUCUAAUCCAACAGGUAGAGGUCAUAUCAGUGAAAGCCUCUAAUCUAACAGGUAGAGGUCAUAUCAGUGAAAGUCUCUAAUCUAACAGGUAGAGGUCAUAUCAGUGAAAGCCUCUAAUCUAACAGGUAGAGGUCAUAUCAGUGAAAGCCUCUAAUCUAACAGGUAGAGGUCAUAUCAGUGAAAGCCUCUAAUCCAACAGGUAGAGGUCAUCUCAGACAACUCUUUCUGCCCCCUGCUUUACGACCCUCCUCUCCUCCUCUCUCUCUUUCCUUCCCUCGCUCACUCCGCCCAGCCUUAUUCUCCAAUAGACUGUAAACGUCUUAAUAUUGUCUUAAAGUGAUAGGCUAGUAGAGGACGUUAGACCACACCCCUUUCCCCGCCACCCUCGCUCCUGUUGAGCCAAUCCCAAGUCACCUUGCUCCCUAAGGAAGACCUUGCCCCUCCCACUUUUCAACGGCGUUGGUGUGUAGAUGUUGUUAUUGCGAAAUUGUAAAGAAAAUAAUAAAUAAUGAAAAUGAUGAUUAUUAUGAAGAAGUAUGUUAAAAACAUUGGAAUGAGAGAGAAGAUGAUAUUAAAAGACUAGAAUUAUUAUGUGAGAACUGUACGGAAUGAUAAUAAUUGAACUUUGCAAUAAAGAAAAUGUUGAAUAUGAAA
This is a long non-coding RNA of Oncorhynchus gorbuscha (pink salmon), 2015 nucleotides long. RefSeq lists it as uncharacterized. The record is from RefSeq and is a predicted model, not a curated record. NCBI's taxonomy places the organism in Eukaryota, Metazoa, Chordata, Actinopteri, Salmoniformes, Salmonidae. The transcript has 2 exons.